UGAAAGCUAGUGGCGGGCUCGCUAUAACUCCGAGCGUAGUAGUAAAAUAUCUCGCUAGGGAGGUGUCGCGGGUUCCGGCCGUGAAAGCCCAUCUUUUACACAAGGUUGACCUCGGAUCAGGUAGGAAUACCCGCUGAACUUAAGCAUAUCAAUAAGCGGAGGAAAAGAAACCAACAGGGAUUGCCCCAGUAACGGCGAGUGAAGCGGCAACAGCUCAAAUUUGAAAUCUGGCUUCGGCCCGAGUUGUAAUUUGUAGAGGAUGCUUUUGGUGAGGUGCCUUCUGAGUUCCCUGGAACGGGACGCCAGAGAGGGUGAGAGCCCCGUAUAGUUGGACACCGAGCCUCUGUAAAGCUCCUUCGACGAGUCGAGUAGUUUGGGAAUGCUGCUCAAAAUGGGAGGUAUAUCUCUUCUAAAGCUAAAUACUGGCCAGAGACCGAUAGCGCACAAGUAGAGUGAUCGAAAGAUGAAAAGCACUUUGAAAAGAGGGUUAAAUAGUACGUGAAAUUGUUGAAAGGGAAGCGCUUGUGACCAGACUUGUGCCCGGCUGAUCAUCCAGUGUUCUCACUGGUGCACUCUGCCGGGCUCAGGCCAGCGUCGGUUCUCGCAGGGGGACAAAAGCUUCGGGAACGUAGCUCCUCCGGGAGUGUUAUAGCCCGUUGCUCAAUACCCCUGCGGGGACCGAGGU
Molecule: ribosomal RNA, 685 nt
Filed under: Sordariomycetes sp. genotype 8
Lineage: Eukaryota; Fungi; Ascomycota; Sordariomycetes
Description: eukaryotic LSU rRNA
Rfam family: Eukaryotic large subunit ribosomal RNA (bases 107-685)
Source: RNAcentral